AAGAAGUUCAUUAAAACCCACAGCGGCAGGGCUUUGCUCUACUGUUCUCCACCCUAGUGAAAGAGACAUAUCCAUUAAACCGUGUUCUGAUUGGUCAUUCAUAAGAGAAUAACUUAAGUCCAAGGGCCACCUGUGAAACUUUGCCACAAUUUUCUUCCUGCUACUUUGAAAAUUAUCCUUGUGGAAAAGAAAGAAAGAAAAAGAGAAACUAUUGUUCCCCUAUCAACACAAGUGGGACAGAAGUGGGUGUGACCGUAGGGUGUCAGAUAAUGUACAAUCAUCACUGGUUGAAAGACAAUGGAUGUGGUGGGAGAGCAUUCACCUGGGUGGAAGGAAACAGCCUCUACACCCCUCUAAGCCCCAUUAGGUGGUUGAUAGCCUGGAUAGACACCGUCC
RNAcentral lists this long non-coding RNA (396 nucleotides) under Equus asinus (donkey). Its description in RNAcentral is "lncRNA (ENSEASG00005029758.1)". The record is from RNAcentral. Lineage: Eukaryota; Metazoa; Chordata; Mammalia; Perissodactyla; Equidae.